UGUGGAUAAUAUCUCGUCAUCAUUGAAUAUUGUUAAAAGAUUUGUUAUAAGGCCUAUAGUUAGUAGGACUGUUGAGCUAUAAUGAAAUCAUAUUACUAGACCAGAUGUUAGAAGGAGGGCUGAGAAUGCUCCUGUUAGUGGUCAUGGGCUUGGGUUUACUAUAUGGUAUGAGUGUGAGAG
Non-coding RNA from Arvicanthis niloticus (Nile rat), 180 nucleotides. The record is from RefSeq and is a predicted model, not a curated record. Lineage: Eukaryota; Metazoa; Chordata; Mammalia; Rodentia; Muridae.